CAGCAGCCACGGUAAUACGUAGGGUGCGAGCGCUAAUCGGAAUUACUGGGCGUAAAGCGUGCGCAGGCGGUCGUGUAAGACAGGUGUGAAAUCCCCGGGCUUAACCUGGGAACUGCGCUUGUGACUGCACAGCUAGAGUAUGGCAGAGGGGGGUGGAAUUCCACGUGUAGCAGUGAAAUGCGUAGAGAUGUGGAGGAACACCGAUGGCGAAGGCAGCCCCCUGGGCCAGUACUGACGCUCAUGCACGAAGGCGUGGGGAGCAAACAGGAUUAGAUACCCCUGUAGUCCCUGUCUCUUAUAC
RNAcentral lists this ribosomal RNA (301 nucleotides) under uncultured bacterium. RNAcentral's name for it is "partial 16S ribosomal RNA". It matches the Rfam family "Bacterial small subunit ribosomal RNA", at positions 509 to 807 of the family's 1533-position model. The record is from RNAcentral.